AUUUUAUUUAGUGACAUGCAUAAAUUUUGUUGCUGAUUUUAUUGAAUGGCAUAGAUUCUCCUCCUUAUUUAGCUUUGGAAAUGUUGAAGAAAAAAGGGUUAAAAGUUGAAAUGCAAGGACAUCUGUUUGUGCUCGAUAAUAUUCAAUAUAACUAUCUUCCGUUUGUGAUGUAGAACAAUAAAGAAGAAUAAAGAACUUGGAGAAAUCAAGGGCCAAUCCUUGAAGAGAGA
RNAcentral lists this unclassified non-coding RNA (230 nucleotides) under Hevea brasiliensis (rubber tree). Lineage: Eukaryota; Viridiplantae; Streptophyta; Magnoliopsida; Malpighiales; Euphorbiaceae. The record is from RNAcentral.